Long non-coding RNA from Panthera uncia (snow leopard), 1450 nucleotides. RefSeq lists it as uncharacterized. The record is from RefSeq and is a predicted model, not a curated record. NCBI's taxonomy places the organism in Eukaryota, Metazoa, Chordata, Mammalia, Carnivora, Felidae. The transcript has 4 exons.
GGCUGCUAUUAUAACAUGUCCAUGUACUUCAUGAGGAUGUAAUCUCAGCCAGGUUAAUGACUUCUCUAAGUCCCAAAGUAAACACAUAGGAAGUAUCCCUAAUGUGCCAGGCACGGUCCUGCGUGUUAGGGUUGAAGAGAUGAGGAGAACAGAUGUGGUUCCUGCCCUCACAGAGUCUACAAUCCAGUGGGGAAGAGAGAUACUGAGCAGGGGCCAUGAUUGAUAUGGAGAGAACAGCUUGUGUGUAGGGGAGAUGUGUAUUUCACGAAGACUGUUCAACAUGAAAUUUACAGUCCCAUAAAGUGCUUCUACAUCUUCGCCAGAGAUCUAGUUAAAAGGACUUUACAGUCUGAAACAUCCUAAAAUUGAUUCUAAAUUAACGUUUCCUCACAUGUAUUUGAGAUAUUGAUGGGGCCCAGCUAUCAGAAUUUUAUUAGGAAGCAAUAAUCUGAGGCACACUGAGACAGACAUACAUACACACCAACCUCCACUACUCCCCAGAGGACACUGGAUAUGCGCUCUCAGGAAGGGCGUCCACGUAGCCUCAGGGAUGGAGACAACCACGAAAUCCUGUCAGCCUUAACAGCCAGGAAAGGAAAACCCACAAAUGGCAGCUUUAAAGGUCACAGCGAUUCAGGUGUCCAUCAGUGAGUAUGUGGGGCAGGCCCAUCACGUGGCACUGUGUGAGGCGCUGUGGGACAUGCGGGGAUGAAUACAGCACUGCCAGGGCCCUUGAGGAGCCCCAGAUCUUGUGACAGUGGAAGAACAUGAGACUUGGAGUCAGACUGGGAGCCAAGGAGAGAGGCCUCAGGAGAAACCAGUCCUGCAACCCCUUGAUCUCAGACACCUUGACCAGAACCUCCAGACUGUGAGAUAACCAAUAUCCAUUGUUUAAGCCACCCAACCUAUUGUGCUUUGUGAUGGCAGCCCCAGCAAACUCCUACAUCACCCUCACUUAAUUUAUCUGUUUUAGGCAGUAUUUAUUUCUUACUCUGACAGUUGAGGUAUUAGCUUUCUCGUACCAUGCUAACUUCCAUUUUUUCUUCUCCCCUUAUCCUCAUAAUAUAGUUUUCCACAAUUUAUAGUUAAAUCAAUAGUUAGUGUUUACAUUAUUGAUUAGGUAAAUAAAUACUGUCCACUCAAGCCGUAAACUACUAUUACAUUUUCUUUCCUUACAAGUUGGUUUAACCUGGAGCUAACAAUUGUUUCUUUUUUUUUUAAUUGUUUAGACUUCUGAGUACCUAGGGCUACUUUCUUCCCAAUGUUCCAAACACAUGGCAAUUUUUCCAAAUGUUCAAUCCCUAACAGAUCAGUUCCAUCUUUUCCUUGGCGACUUUUUUUUUUUUUUUUAAUGUUUAUUUAUUUUUGAGAGGGAGAGAGAACGAGCAAGCUGGGAAGGGGCAGAGAGAGAGAAGGGGACAGAAAAGCAGGCUCUGCACUGUGGGGCUCA